AGCGUAGACGGAUGGACAAGUCUGAUGUGAAAGGCUGGGGCUCAACCCCGGGACUGCAUUGGAAACUGCCCGUCUUGAGUGCCGGAGAGGUAAGCGGAAUUCCUAGUGUAGCGGUGAAAUGCGUAGAUAUCAGGAGGAACACCGAUGGCGAAGGCAGAUCUCUGGGCCGCUACUGACGCUGAGGAGCGAAAGCAUGGGGAGCGAACA
Molecule: ribosomal RNA, 207 nt
Filed under: uncultured bacterium
Lineage: Bacteria
Description: partial 16S ribosomal RNA
Rfam family: Bacterial small subunit ribosomal RNA
Source: RNAcentral